UGAAAUCGUGAAUGUUGCGUAUGGGGU
RNAcentral lists this small RNA (27 nucleotides) under Bombyx mori (domestic silkworm). RNAcentral describes it as "piRNA piR-bmo-2148091". The record is from RNAcentral. Lineage: Eukaryota; Metazoa; Arthropoda; Insecta; Lepidoptera; Bombycidae.